This 433-nucleotide ribosomal RNA is filed under the name uncultured bacterium. RNAcentral's name for it is "partial 16S ribosomal RNA". It matches the Rfam family "Bacterial small subunit ribosomal RNA", at positions 29 to 507 of the family's 1533-position model. The record is from RNAcentral.
AACGAACGCUGGCGGCAUGCCUAACACAUGCAAGUCGAACGAGACCUUCGGGUCUAGUGGCGCACGGGUGCGUAACGCGUGGGAACCUGCCCUUAGGUUCGGAAUAACUCCCCGAAAGGGGUGCUAAUACCGGAUAAUGUCUUCGGACCAAAGAUUUAUCGCCUUUGGAUGGGCCCGCGUUGGAUUAGCUAGUUGGUAGGGUAAAAGCCUACCAAGGCGACGAUCCAUAGCUGGUCUGAGAGGAUGAUCAGCCACACUGGGACUGAGACACGGCCCAGACUCCUACGGGAGGUAGCAGUGGGGAAUAUUGGACAAUGGGCGAAAGCCUGGUCCAGCAAUGCCGCGUGAGGGAUGAAGGCCUUAGGGUUGUAAAGCUCUUUUACCCGGGAUGAUAAUGACAGUACCGGGAGAAUAAGCUCCGGCUAACUCCGUG